UCUUGCCAUGCGCGUGCUAUACAUGCAGUCGAACGCACUUUCGUUAAUUGAUUUUGAGAUGCUUGCAUCGAAGAUGAUUUUAACUAUAAAGUGAGUGGCGAACGGGUGAGUAACACGUGGGUAACCUGCCCAGAAGUGGGGGAUAACACCUGGAAACAGAUGCUAAUACCGCAUAACAAAAUUAACCGCAUGGUUGAUUUUUAAAAGAUGGCUUCGGCUAUCACUUCUGGAUGGACCCGCGGCGUAUUAGCUAGUUGGUGAGAUAAAGGCUCACCAAGGCAGUGAUACGUAGCCGACCUGAGAGGGUAAUCGGCCACAUUGGGACUGAGACACGGCCCAGACUCCUACGGGAGGCAGCAGUAGGGAAUCUUCCACAAUGGACGCAAGUCUGAUGGAGCAACGCCGCGUGAGUGAUGAAGGCUUUCGGGCCGUAAAACUCUGUUGUUGGAGAAGAACGUGUGUGAGAGUAACUGCUCAUGCAGUGACGGUAUCCAACCAGAAAGCCACGGCUAACUACGUGCCAGCAGCCGCGGUAAUACGUAGGUGGCAAGCGUUAUCCGGAUUUAUUGGGCGUAAAGCGAGCGCAGGCGGUCUUUUAAGUCUAAUGUGAAAGCCUUCGGCUUAACCGAAGAAGUGCAUUGGAAACUGGGAGACUUGAGUGCAGAAGAGGAGAGUGGAACUCCAUGUGUAGCGGUGAAAUGCGUAGAUAUAUGGAAGAACACCAGUGGCGAAGGCGGCUCUCUGGUCUGCAACUGACGCUGAGGCUCGAAAGCAUGGGUAGCGAACAGGAUUAGAUACCCUGGUAGUCCAUGCCGUAAACGAUGAAUGCUAAGUGUUGGAGGGUUUCCGCCCUUCAGUGCUGCAGCUAACGCAUUAAGCAUUCCGCCUGGGGAGUACGACCGCAAGGUUGAAACUCAAAAGAAUUGACGGGGGCCCGCACAAGCGGUGGAGCAUGUGGGUUUAAUUCGAAGCUACGCGAAGAACCUUACCAGGUCUUGACAUCUUCUGCUAACCUAAGAGAUUAGGCGUUCCCUUCGGGGACGAUGACAGUGUGCAUGGUGUCGUCAGCUCGUGUCGUGAGAUGUGGGUAGUCCCGCACGAGCGCACCCUAUAUAGUGCCAGCAUAGGUGGCACUCUAGUGAGACUGCCGGUGACAAACCGAGAGGUGGGGACGGACGUCAUCAUCAUGCCGUAUGCACUGGCCUACACUACUGGCCUCACAAUGGGAACGCGGUUCCACCCAGGU
Molecule: ribosomal RNA, 1246 nt
Filed under: Pediococcus ethanolidurans
Lineage: Bacteria; Bacillati; Bacillota; Bacilli; Lactobacillales; Lactobacillaceae
Description: bacterial SSU rRNA
Rfam family: Bacterial small subunit ribosomal RNA
Source: RNAcentral